CAUUGCCAGCCGCUUCUCUCUCGUUUCCUCUUCCACCCGAUCCGCCACCAUGAGCAUGGCCUCCGCCUUCAGUUAUGACCCUCGUCCACCCAUCUCCCAAGAUACAACACAUCCAUGUCCUCCACAUCCACGGCCAUCGGGAGGAAGCCGAGCAGGAGAGGUACGGGCUAACCCUAGACCGGCCUUCCACGCAUUGUUGGGGUGAGGAGGAUAGGGAGGCGGCGGCGGCAGGGACCGAUUGUUUUUCCCGUGGGAGUAGGAUCUGAGCGGGGAGGAGGAGGCGCAUGCGUCGCCACAACACCAAGGAACACCUGAUCGUGAAGAUUCUCUUAUUCCUUGAUGCAGAUUUAUUUGUGAAAGAAGAGAAUUAGCGAGAGUGGUCGAGCAAGCUCUUCCUGACAUGUUUUUCUUAGAUGACCUUUCUCCAAUUAAGGUUUGAAUACUACGGUCAGAAAAAUCCGUUUGAGAUCACAGUUUUUGCUGGUCUCGAAAAAUGUAUUAAGUUCAUUCUGAACUUUAAGUUCAGAGAAGAUGGUAUUUGUCUUCUGCAGCAAUCACGCCAAUGCGUGAGAGCUCUACCAGGCUCCUCAUAAAAGCCAACAUGCUCAAGAAUGAUGGAGCACCUUGGUAUAAAGAAGCAUGAGGAGGUAUUAGUCGCCGAUGAAGAAUUAUAUCCAUUCAAACAAUGAUGGCGCCCCUCGAUUGAAGAUUAAUAAAGAAUAUAUUUUCUAGUUUUUCCAUUUCCAAAUUAGAUAUGAGAAGUACAUUGGUCA
Molecule: long non-coding RNA, 773 nt
Organism: Triticum aestivum (bread wheat)
Lineage: Eukaryota; Viridiplantae; Streptophyta; Magnoliopsida; Poales; Poaceae
Exons: 4
Source: RefSeq, a predicted model, not a curated record